CCCACUUAAAUAUUUAUUUUAUUGCUUUUAGUAUUUGUUGUUAUAGCGGCAACAGAAAUACAUCAUGUGUGAAAAUUUCAACUGUCUAGCUAUCACGGUUCGUGAGAUACAGCCUGGUGACAGACAGAUGGUCGGACAGCGGAGUCUUAGUAAUAGGGUCCCGUUUUUACCCUUUGGGUACGGAACCCUAAAAACUACUGCGCAAAUUCUCGGGGUUAAUAUUUAGGAUGCGACUGAAAAAACUCAGGCUAAUUACGACCUCGCCUUCGACUUCGGGCUUCAAUUCACACUCGUUCGUAAAUUCUUGUUUACCGCCCUCAAAACACAAUGUACUAAAUUAUUGUCACACUUUCACUAUAGUCUUCAACAAAGCGUUUUAUCAAACAACUUUCCCCAAAGUACCUAUUCAGCGAUUAUACCAAAGGUCACUGCCCCAGUUCUCACCUAGAUUAUAUUCACAAACUCCCAUAUUCCAAUAUGACUAGACCCCUAACUUCAUACCAACUAUACGUCGCAAGGGGUCUUAGUUCAAAAAAUAUUUUAACAGCAGUAAUUCCCCUAUAUUUCUUGACCCGUAACUCCAUACUAACUAUACAACGUGCUCACAAGGAACUCGAAACAUUUUAAUAGUGUAUUCCUGAUCAUAUUUAAAGACUAAAAUGUCGAAUAAACUUUUCCGGAUUCACCUAGUUUCAGAGUAAAUACCGAUUUUUUAUUGUUACUUAGUGAAAAACGCCUUUUUGAUGGCGAUGUUGCCACUAUGGGGUCUACUCUAAAUAUCCUUAUUGACAAAAUAACAAUAAGUGACAAGUAACACUUUGCAAAAAACUAGGUUUUACGUAAAACAAGUACCAAUCAUUUUAUAUGAUAGUUUUACCAAUAACAUUUACAAUAAAAAAUAUACUUUAGGCGAAUUUGACCUAAGCUCUUUCUUAGUUAAAAUUUAAAAUCUUUCAGGUUCCUCGUGAACACCUUGUAUGUAUCAAGGGCUCAAGUUAUACUGGUUUUUGUAUGGUUUUGGCACAGUUGAUAACAACAGUCAUUAAGCAUGAUAAAUGGUGUUGCUAAAACGCUUUGUUGGGCGUAAUUUUGGGUACAAUGGAUGAAAACGAUGUCGUCCGGGAGCGAGUCAUGGUAAUCGAUAGGCGUUUAUUACGGAGUUUAAGAGUCGGACGUAUACUCUGUAUCUUUAGGUAUUUAAAUAAAAGUAAACAAAUAAUUUGUAUUGGGGAUAUAACAUUUAUUGCUUAACUAACCAAAUACAAAACCGCCUGGAUCUGUCACUGAACGACCUGACUAUAACCUACAUUAUAACCUACUUAAAAUAAAUUGUUUCACACCGUGCACGAAAUAAAGCACCAGAUAAUUAUUAGAAAAACAUAGAUAGCAGUUAUUUUUAAACACAAUUUCUGUUUUAUAUAUCGGAUUGAAAUAUAAUUAAAAAAAACCGGACAAGUGCGAGUCGGACUCGCCCACCGAGGGUUCCAUACUUUUUAGUAUUUGUUAUAGCGGCAACAGAAAUACAUCAUCUGUGAAUAUUUCAACAAGACAGACGGCCAACGGACAACUUAGCUAUAGGGGUCCGGUUUUUACCCUUUGGGUACGGAAUUAAUAAUAAUAAUAAUAACAGAAUAAUAACAAAUUAUACUCGCGUGACUAUUUCUGUACAUGAUUUAAGUUAUAAUUGUCAUCUUGGCUAUGCCCCCGACCUUACCUUUAACCUUUUGAACGCUUUACGUCAUUAACAAAACGCCACUGACACGCCAAGGCGCAAGCGAGCUAAUGUAAACCUUACUUGAAAGUGUGAAGAUUAUUUGACAGCGUCCGCCAUAACACUUAUAGUGGUCCUGGGCGCUGUGGGGACGACUAGUGAAGACGACUUUAGGUGUUCUUGGCGUUCAAAUGGUUAAUGCAUUUAUCAAUCUUCUUCCUCGCGUUGUCCCGGCAUUUUGCCACGGCUCCUGGGAGCCUGGGGUCCGCUUGACAACAAUGACAACUAAUCCCAUGAUUUGACGUAAGCAUAAAUUUUACGAAAUCGACUGCCAUCUGACCUUCCAACCCAGAGGGGAUACUGGGAUUAGUCCGGUUUCCUCACGAUGUUUUCCUUCACCGAAAAGCAAAAUGCGACUGGCAAAUAUCAAAUGAUAUUUCGUAGGUACAUAAGUUCCAAAAUUCAAAAAACUCAUUGGUACGAGCCGGGGUUUGAACCCACGACCUCCGGAUUGAAAAUCGCACGCUCUUACCGGUAGGCCACCAGCGCCAGGCGUGGCCCACUCCGCGAUUUCGUCGCUUUGCUACAGGUAGCUAAAAGUACAUCCGUUCCACACCAAUUUUGGUGGCUAGCCAUAAGCCGCGCGUGGCGCUGUCGCCACCUAGCGGCCAUAUCUGUCCUGAUCGUAACAGACGCGUUAUGUUAGGGACUGAGUCUUCUGUACCUAGUACUAUUAUUUAUUCUGUGCCAGCGCUUUUAUCAAUAAAGACAUUAAAUGAUAAAAUACGCCUUAUAUCUCGACGGGCCUUGACAUUUUGAUCUUUAUUGAGUCAGUAAAGCGCAUCAGUUGUAAAAAUGCACUUCGCUUUAUAUGCGCGUAAGCUUGAUACGUGACGCCAUUUUCUUUUAUGCUCCGUUUUAUGUUUUUAAUACCGCGAUUGUGGGAUAUAAAACUUGCAGUAAGCAGAGAGGGCCUACCACAAACACCGAAGAACGCGGCUUUUUUCUCUGUCACUCUAAUUACGUCUUAAUUGGAGUAAAUGAGAAAGAUGCCCGCAAUCUGCGAACUUCGGUGUUCGCGGUAGGCCCUCAGACUUUCUAGCCUAUGGCUGGAGUAUCCAAAAGGUUAUACGAGUAUAUGCAUUGCCUUACGAUACGAGAUAAGGUUAUGGCUUUAUGACUCACCGAUAAUCGCAAGCGAUUUGCAAUACAUUGCGGCAUUUGAUCGAUCGAAUUCGUUGCUCAUACUUAGCCGGCAAUAUUUAAAAUCACAUGCUAUUUGUUGCAACGUCUGUAGAAGCUUUUAUAAAUAAAUUUAACGUAAAUUUGAGUAAUAAAAAAACUGUAACAAAUUGCACUAUAUGUAUUUUUGAAUUUUUCACAUAGUACAUACCAUUUAAAAAACCUUAACGCAUAAAUUGUAUUGAAGUGUUAGCGGUCACCAUACCCAAGCUAAGUGAAAAAUACUAUUAUUAAAGUAGGAUAUAAAAGAUUAUCGCACAUAGACUUUGAUGCUAUAAUCAUAAGAGUGGUGUUUGCCCUUGCAAUACUUGAUCUUGCGGCAAAUGCUAUAUGGGGUAAAAGCUCGUAUAAAUGUCUCAAGAGUCUAGCUCAUACAAUAUUUUUUUGACUGAAUGUCCUAAGCGGCAGGACGACUUUGAAUAAUUGGGGUAGUUCUAAAAAAACUGACCCUAUGAUUUUUGAAAAUGCUAAGCAUGAUUAGAAAUACCUAGUAAUUUUAAGAAAUCGGACUUGACUACAUAUACUUAGUAAGUUUAUUAGCUGUGUACAAAAAGAUGGUACAUUUUUUUCAAUAACAAGAUGAUGCCAUUAAAAAAAAAACAAAAAAUGAUUAAACUAACUUAUGAUAUUAUAAAGAGUGCAACUAAAAAGUUACUUUAUUAAUAGAUAUAAGUUAAUGUAGGUAUGUAUAAUAGUCUUUUUUGUAUAUCUAUGUACCGAAAGUGGAUAGACGUUGACUUAUGUAAGUUAAAUACACGAUGGUGUACAUAAUACAGCUAGAAAACUGUACAUACAAUAUUGUACAUACACUGUAAAUACACUCGAGAUAUAUAUUUAAUAAUAAUAUAAAUUUGAUUCAAAGAAAAGUUUUAAAAAAUAAAUUGAGAAAAAAAUACAAAAAAAUAAAAUAAAGACAUACAGUGAGUAUGAAGUGGAAAAAGCAA
Long non-coding RNA from Cydia splendana, 3897 nucleotides. RefSeq lists it as uncharacterized. The transcript has 2 exons. The record is from RefSeq and is a predicted model, not a curated record. Lineage: Eukaryota; Metazoa; Arthropoda; Insecta; Lepidoptera; Tortricidae.